Long non-coding RNA from Monodelphis domestica (gray short-tailed opossum), 1162 nucleotides. RefSeq lists it as uncharacterized. NCBI's taxonomy places the organism in Eukaryota, Metazoa, Chordata, Mammalia, Didelphimorphia, Didelphidae. The record is from RefSeq and is a predicted model, not a curated record.
AUUUCAGGCUUCGGACCGGGUCCGGGCGGGGCGGGGAGAGGAGCGUGGUUAUCCCGGGGCGGGGCCUCUCCCCCUUGCUAUAAUUCCCCAGAGUUGUAGUUGGGACUGGCUGUGGGCUAUAUGCUGCGGGGAGCAGCUUGGGGGUUGGGGGAGGGCAGAAGUCACGGCCCGGCUCGUGGCCCCCAGUCGUUGGGGAGAGCCUGAGUGGAGGCAGCAGAGGAAAAUAAGCCACCAGCAUGAACUGCCUGGCCUAGAGAGGCGGCGUGUCCCUGGGGCUCGGCCGGCCAGUCCGGAGCCUUAUGGGUGACUGCAGUGGCUGCUGCUGCUGCUGCAGCGGUGACCAUGAUCCGGACCUACCAACUGCGGGUGGGCGUGACCUAGGAACAGCCUGCGCCACUGAGCCAGGACACCUGAAACGCAACCUGCGCCAGGCGUAGAGACUGGGCUGCUCCGUUUUUGGGGGGAUGCUCAAGUUUGCUGCUAUCGAUUAGUGCUUCUCAUAGAGGACUACACGACUUGAGGACGGCGGGGAUCCCCUGGAUGGAGUCUUGGAGAAAACCCACAGAGAGUGGGCAUGAUCUGGAUGAAGAUGCAGCCAUGGCUGAGCAGGCGAGAUGGCUCAGUGGAUUGAGAGCCAGACCUGGAGAUGGGAGGACCUAGGUUCAAAUUUGACCUCCAGUACUUCCUAGUUGUGUGACCCUGGUCAAGUCGCUGAAACCCAAUUACCUAGCCCUUGCUACUCAUCAGUCUUAAAAUUAAUACUAAGAAGAUGAGGCAACUGAGGCAAGAAGAGCUAGUACUGGUCAGAGGCAGGAUAUGACCUCAUCUUCUAGACUUCCAUCUCCCAAGUUUUGUCAACAACAUGAUACAAGGAAUAAUGGAAGUAAUUUAUAAUGGUUUCUUUUGGAUACCUUAUUUGAUUUUCAACAUGAUUCUGGAUUGGUGUUAUAUGUUAUAUGUUACUGGAGUGGACUGUAUUAAAGCCUUUUAUAGACUUGACUAUGUGUAGAGUAUGCUCAUAUUUUCCUGUAAUAUGUGUGGCAAUUGUAUAUAAAUGUAAGUGGAUAAUUAAAAUGACUGUAUAAGAUCAAAGCUGUUAUUAAGUGGAUGCUUAGAGAUUCAGAGUUAAAGCAAAUGAAAUAAAGAUUCAAUUACAAAUAGA